CUACACGAAGCUGGAAUCGCUAGUAAUCGCGAAUCAGAAUGUCGCGGUGAAUACGUUCCCGGGUCUUGUACACACCGCCCGUCACACCAUGGGAGUCGGGAAUGCCCGAAGUCAGUGACCCAACCUAUUGGAGGGAGCUGCCGAAGGCAGGUCUGAUAACUGGGGUGAAGUCGUAACAAGGUAGC
This 185-nucleotide ribosomal RNA is filed under the name uncultured bacterium. RNAcentral's name for it is "partial 16S ribosomal RNA". It matches the Rfam family "Bacterial small subunit ribosomal RNA", at positions 1316 to 1500 of the family's 1533-position model. The record is from RNAcentral.